Molecule: ribosomal RNA, 877 nt
Filed under: uncultured rumen archaeon
Lineage: Archaea
Description: bacterial SSU rRNA
Rfam family: Archaeal small subunit ribosomal RNA (bases 2-785)
Source: RNAcentral
UCCGUUUGAUCCCGGCGGAGGCUACUGCUAUUGGGAUUCGAUUAAGCCAUGCGAGUUGAAUGAAUUUAGAUUCAUGGCGUACGGCUCAGUAACACGUGGAUAACUUACCCUUAGGACUGGGAUAACUCUGGGAAACUGGGGAUAAUACCGGAUAUUAGGCUAUGGCUGGAAUGCUUUGCCUUUGAAAUGUUUCUUGUAUUCGCCUAAGGAUAGAUCUGCGGCUGAUUAGGUCGUUGGUGGGGUAAUGGCCCACCAAGCCUAUGAUCGGUACGGGUUGUGAGAGCAAGAGCCCGGAGAUGGAACCUGAGACAAGGUUCCAGACCCUACGGGGUGCAGCAGGCGCGAAACCUCCGCAAUGUACGAAAGUGCGACGGGGGGAUCCCAAGUGUUAUUCUUAAUAGGAUAACUUUUCAUUAGUGUAAAAAGCUUUUAGAAUAAGAGCUGGGCAAGACCGGUGCCAGCCGCCGCGGGUACACCGGCAGCUCAAGUGGUAGCUGUUUUUAUUGGGCCUAAAGCGUUCGUAGCCGGUUUGAUAAGUCUUGGNUGAAAGCUAUGGCUUNAACUGUAGAAUUGCUGAAGAACUGUCAGACUUGAGUCGGGAGAGGUAGAAGUACUACCGGGGUAGGGUGAAAUCUUAUAUCCUGGGAGACCACUGUGCGGAGCGUCUACUGAACGAUCUUGACGUGAGUACAAAGCAGGGCCCGAACGAAUUAAACCCGGGAGCCUGGCGUAACAAGGAACUGGGUUGAAUGCUUCAGUUUCCAGGCAAGGACUUUAUUCCCCCCGGAAAUCGUCCAACUAACUUAAGAUGGGGGGACCCAACCGGGCCCGGUUUUGGUUCCCGGAUCCCGGCCAGUUUAAACGGUAGACCUUCUUG